CGUGGGUAACCUGCCCAAGAGAUCGGGAUAACACCUGGAAACAGAUGCUAAUACCGGAUAACAACAGAUGAUGCCUAUCAACUGUUUAAAAGAUGGUUCUGCUAUCACUCUUGGAUGGACCUGCGGUGCAUUAGCUAGUUGGUAAGGUAACGGCCUACCAAGGCGAUGAUGCAUAGCCGAGUUGAGAGACUGAUCGGCCACAUUGGGACUGAGGACACGGCCCAAACUCCUACGGAGGCAGCAGGA
This 246-nucleotide ribosomal RNA is filed under the name uncultured Lactobacillus sp. Its description in RNAcentral is "partial 16S ribosomal RNA". It matches the Rfam family "Bacterial small subunit ribosomal RNA", at positions 116 to 354 of the family's 1533-position model. The record is from RNAcentral. Lineage: Bacteria; Bacillati; Bacillota; Bacilli; Lactobacillales; Lactobacillaceae.